AUUGAACGCUGGCGGCAUGCUUUACACAUGCAAGUCGAACGGUACAGGCCGCACGGUGCUGACGAGUGGAGUACGGGUGAGUAAUGCAUCGGAACGUGCCCAGGCCUGGGGGAUAACUACUCGCCAGAGUAGCUAAUACCGCACACGAUCCAUGGAUGAUAGUAGGGGACCGUAAGGCCUCGCGCGAUUGGAGCGGACGAUGUCAGAUUAGGUAGUUGGUGGGGUAAAGGCUUACCAAGCCAACGAUCCGUAGCUGGUCUGAGAGGACGACCAGCCAUACUGGGACUGAGACACGGCCCAGACUCCUACGGGAGGCAGCAGUGGGGAAUUUUGGACAAUGGGCGCAAGCCUGAUCCAGCAAUGCCGCGUGCAGGAAGAAGGCCUUCGGGUUGUAAACUGCUUUUGUACGGAACGAAACGGCUCUGGUUAAUACCCGGGGCUAAUGACGGUACCGGAAGAAUAAGCACCGGCUAACUACGUG
RNAcentral lists this ribosomal RNA (481 nucleotides) under uncultured bacterium. RNAcentral's name for it is "partial 16S ribosomal RNA". It matches the Rfam family "Bacterial small subunit ribosomal RNA", at positions 30 to 507 of the family's 1533-position model. The record is from RNAcentral.